AUGGUCCUUGGCUACAACCCGAACGAAGCCUCGUCCAUUGCGGAGCGGCUUAAGUGCCGCCUGGGCAUCUUCCCCACCACUUACUUGGGGGUGCCCAUUAGUGACUCCAGACUCACCGUCGCGGAUCUACGACCGACGGUGACUAGGAUGCAGCGCAGGGUUGAACCCUGGAGGGGUUGCUGGCUGUCGAAAGCCGCGAGGGUGAUCCUUAUCAAUUCCUCGCUUGCGAGCCUCCUCUGGUUCCUCUUGAGCUUCUAUUGCCUUCAUGAGACCCUCCACCAGGAGGUGGACAAAUACCAGUCGAGGUUCUUAUGGGCUGGUGAGGACGACAAACAAUAGUACCAUAUGGUGAGCUGGUCCGACAUCUACAAGCCCAAAGACCAGGGGGGUCUCGGGAUCCUCUCUUCCCGACGCAUGAACAUUGCCCUCCUGACUCGCUGGUUGUGGCGUAUUGCCAACGGGGAGGGAGGCCUCUGGCUCACCAUCAUCCGCAAUAAAUACCUUCGUGGCCAACCUCUUGCCUUUUGCCAACGUACGGGCGGUUCCCAGUUCUGGCAGUCCGUGAUCCAGCUCCUGCCCAUACUACGCAUUGGCACUUCUAUCUGUUGGUUCCGGAGCCUUGACCCUAUUUUGGUUCGACCGUUGGCUAGGGGACGCCCCCCUGGCGGUGCGUUUCCCUGA
RNAcentral lists this ribosomal RNA (681 nucleotides) under Triticum aestivum (bread wheat). Its description in RNAcentral is "partial small subunit ribosomal RNA". The record is from RNAcentral. Lineage: Eukaryota; Viridiplantae; Streptophyta; Magnoliopsida; Poales; Poaceae.